AUUGAACGCUGGCGGCAUGCCUUACACAUGCAAGUCGAACGGCAGCACGGGAGCAAUCCUGGUGGCGAGUGGCGAACGGGUGAGUAAUAUAUCGGAACGUGCCCAGUCGUGGGGGAUAACGUAGCGAAAGCUACGCUAAUACCGCAUACGAUCUAUGGAUGAAAGCGGGGGAUCGCAAGACCUCGCGCGAUUGGAGCGGCCGAUAUCAGAUUAGGUAGUUGGUGAGGUAAAGGCUCACCAAGCCGACGAUCUGUAGCUGGUCUGAGAGGACGACCAGCCACACUGGGACUGAGACGGACGGCCCAGACUCCUACGGGAGGCAGCAGUGGGGAAUUUUGGACAAUGGGCGCAAGCCUGAUCCAGCAAUGCCGCGUGCAGGAUGAAGGCCUUCGGGUUGUAAACUGCUUUUGUACGGAACGAAACGGCGAGCUCUAAUACAGUUUGCUAAUGACGGUACCGUAAGAAUAAGCACCGGCUAACUACGUG
Molecule: ribosomal RNA, 486 nt
Filed under: uncultured bacterium
Lineage: Bacteria
Description: bacterial SSU rRNA
Rfam family: Bacterial small subunit ribosomal RNA
Source: RNAcentral